RNAcentral lists this long non-coding RNA (1339 nucleotides) under Pogona vitticeps (central bearded dragon). Its description in RNAcentral is "lncRNA (ENSPVIG00000005084.1)". Lineage: Eukaryota; Metazoa; Chordata; Lepidosauria; Squamata; Agamidae. The record is from RNAcentral.
AAAACACAGUUAACUUGUAAUAACUCUAGAAAAAAAGUUUAUUAACUAUAUACUUUAGUAUUUCAGUAGCAAAGGUCAAAAUAUAGCAUUUCAAUGAAAAAUAAAGUUAACUCGUAAUAACUCUAGAAAAAAAGUUUAUUAACUACAUACUUUAGUAUUUCAGUAGCAAAGGUCAAAAUAUAGCAUUUCAAUGAAAAAUAAAGAAGGCAUUUGUCUUACAAAGUCCAAGUAAGUUUCUUUAGCUUUGAAGACUGUCCCUACACUGGGUAAACCACCCCCUAAAGCUGGAUGGCAUGGAUGCGAGUGUGGAUGGAGGGAGAGCCAUCAGACGGCAUGUGCUCAGGCCAUCUCCAUCUUGGAAAAGGCCCCUUUUCAAGGAAGAAGGCACACAAGAGAGAGGAGGGGCAGGAAGGGAUCAAUGCACAACAGCGCCCCAAUAGCAGGGUAGAACUGAGUGACUGGCAGAAUCACCCACUGCAUUCUGGGGCACAAUUGAUCUGCAUACUCCAACAACUACAAGCUGGAAAGGAUUCAAAAUGUCACAGGAUAGCCAUCUGUAUUUGUCAGCUGAACAGGCAAGUUUAGCCAAAGGAAGGAUUAAAUGGAUUUUUGAGUGAGUGGAGUUCCAUAACUGAAAGCAGCCCCCUCUUCGAACUCCAGUCUUUUGCCUUCACAGUAUAUGCCAAAUGCCAUCUUCAGCAUUGCAGUCCAAUAGCUUUCAAAGGCUGUGGAUGAAUGAACUGGAGGAUAGAGUCCUUGAAUAUAUGCAAGGGUAAGGUGUUUGGUGGUUAAUAAUUAAUACUAAACCUAGAAGGACUGAGUUAUUUACUGCAUAAUCGUUAAAAGCUCUCCAGAACUAAUAGAAUGCCUAAAAUGGGAAGGAAAUGCUUUAUGCCAGCUUUAGGACAGGUACGAAUACAGGGCAUUUUUCCACAUAUUAGGGGUGUGGUUGGAAAUCUUUGUCACUGUGCCCAGUAAUAUGGCCCUGGUAUUCCUCUUUUUCUACCUACCAAUCAAUUCUCUGAUCCUGGCCAGUUUCUUUCCUGGGUGGCUCUCUUUGUGAGUAUGUAACUCAGACCUCUGAAAUCCAAUCUUCACCAACCUUAAAGAGCUUGUAUAAGAGAGUCAGAGGAAGCGUCUCUGAAUUUUGGUAUCUCUAGGUGCCUUGGAGGCCAUUUUAUAUUCAAAUGAAUUGACAAAUCAAAAAUCACUAAAAAUUCAUUGAUUUGUAUUUGUUGGGGGCAUUGAUUUGUAUGAAUACCAAUUGCCGAAUUAACAAUUUUUGAAUGAAUUUGAUGCUUUGUUUUUUAAUUUGUGCUCAUCUCUUUCCCAAUAGCUU